AGAGUUUGAUCCUGGCUCAGAUUGAACGCUGGCGGAAUGCUUUACACAUGCAAGUCGAACGGCAGCACGGGAGCUUGCUCCUGGUGGCGAGUGGCGGACGGGUGAGUAAUAUAUCGGAACGUAUCUUUUAAUGGGGGAUAACUAGCCGAAAGGUUAGCUAAUACCGCAUACGCCCUGAGGGGGAAAGCAGGGGAUCUUCGGACCUUGCGUUAAUUGAGCGGCCGAUAUCUGAUUAGCUAGUUGGUGGGGUAAAAGCCUACCAAGGCGACGAUCAGUAGCUGGUCUGAGAGGACGACCAGCCACACUGGAACUGAGACACGGUCCAGACUCCUACGGGAGGCAGCAGUGGGGAAUUUUGGACAAUGGGCGAAAGCCUGAUCCAGCCAUUCCGCGUGAGUGAAGAAGGCCUUCGGGUUGUAAAGCUCUUUCGCAAGGAAAGAAAACUUAUCUCCUAAUACGGGGUGAGGAUGACGGUACCUUGAUAAGAAGCACCGGCUAACUACGUGCCAGCAGCCGCGGUAAUACGUAGGGUGCGAGCGUUAAUCGGAAUUACUGGGCGUAAAGCGUGCGCAGGCUGUUUUGUAAGUCAGAUGUGAAAUCCCUGGGCUCAACCUAGGAACUGCGUUUGAAACUACAAGGCUAGAGUGUAGCAGAGGGGGGUAGAAUUCCACGUGUAGCAGUGAAAUGCGUAGAGAUGUGGAGGAAUACCAAUGGCGAAGGCAGCCCCCUGGGUUAACACUGACGCUCAUGCACGAAAGCGUGGGGAGCAAACAGGAUUAGAUACCCUGGUAGUCCACGCCCUAAGCGAUGUCUACUAGUUGUUGGGAGAGUAAAAUCUCUUAGUAACGCAGCUAACGCGUGAAGUAGACCGCCUGGGGAGUACGGUCGCAAGAUUAAAACUCAAAGGAAUUGACGGGGGCCCGCACAAGCGGUGGAUUAUGUGGAUUAAUUCGAUGCAACGCGAAAAACCUUACCUGGCCUUGACAUGUACCGAAUUUGGGAGAGAUUCCUUAGUGCUCGAAAGAGAACGGUAACACAGGUGCUGCAUGGCUGUCGUCAGCUCGUGUCGUGAGAUGUUGGGUUAAGUCCCGCAACGAGCGCAACCCUUGCCAUUAAUUGCCAUCAUUUAGUUGGGCACUUUAAUGGGACUGCCGGUGACAAACCGGAGGAAGGUGGGGAUGACGUCAAGUCCUCAUGGCCCUUAUGGCCAGGGCUUCACACGUAAUACAAUGGUCGGUACAGAGGGUUGCCAACCCGCGAGGGGGAGCCAGUCUCAGAAAGCCGAUUGUAGUCCGGAUUGUAGUCUGCGACUCGACUACAUGAAGUCGGAAUCGCUAGUAAUCGCGGAUCAGCAUGUCGUGGUGAAUACGUUCCCGGGCCUUGUACACACCGCCCGUCACACCAUGGGAGUGGGUUUCACCAGAAGUAGUUAGUCUAACCGCAAGGAGGACGAUUACCACGGUGGGAUUCAUGACUGGGGUGAAGUCGUAACAAGGUA
Molecule: ribosomal RNA, 1498 nt
Filed under: metagenome
Description: bacterial SSU rRNA
Rfam family: Bacterial small subunit ribosomal RNA
Source: RNAcentral